GUUACACUUCCUAUAAUUUAUUUUCAUGUGAUAAACAAACAUUAUUCUGCAUGUCCACUUAUUUAACACACGAAUGACAGAUUCAGUAAAAUCUGCCAAAGAUUAACGAUGUAAAAACUGAAUGUAGCCGACAAGUUUAGUUUUCACUGUAACACAUUAACACCAAUACUCUGAAUAAAGAGCUUGAGGAGACGUAAUGCUACUUUAAACAGCUGCUCUUCAAAUGCAGAUGUGACGUUAAAUACUCACGUUUCAGUUGAUCACAGUAAAUCGGUUUCUGCAGAAUAAUAAUCUGUGUGUGUGUGUGUGUGUGUGAUCGUAAGUUUGUUAUCUACAUCAUAAUCCCAAUAAAAAUUAACUGUGAACUGGACUUUGAACUGGUUCAACCCGGUGGAGGAGCCUGAGAACAGGGAGGUGUCAGACUCCAUUUUCACUGGGAUGAGCAGAAGGAAGAAAAGUGAGCAGAAUCAUACGUUACAGCAGUGGUCACCAACCUGUGGAGAGUCUUCACUGUGGAUCCCAGUAAAGCUCUGGACUCACUGGCUGAGGAGUGAGAGACAUCGACCUGCAGACACAGACUGAAGAUGAGUGGUUAUGAGGAGGAAGAGGAGGACAGAGCAGAGUCUCCAGGGUUCAGCUGUGUGUCUCUGAAGAGUGACCGGUCCAUGUUUGAGCCUCCAAACUUCAGUAAUGAACCUGGACCCUCACACACAAAGGAGAGGAAGAGGAGUCAUGUUUCUGAGGAGGAGCAGUCGUCCUGCUGUGCUUC
This is a long non-coding RNA of Hippoglossus stenolepis (Pacific halibut), 769 nucleotides long. RefSeq lists it as uncharacterized. The transcript has 4 exons. NCBI's taxonomy places the organism in Eukaryota, Metazoa, Chordata, Actinopteri, Pleuronectiformes, Pleuronectidae. The record is from RefSeq and is a predicted model, not a curated record.